This 200-nucleotide unclassified non-coding RNA is filed under the name Hypocreales sp. RNAcentral's name for it is "partial internal transcribed spacer 2". The record is from RNAcentral. Lineage: Eukaryota; Fungi; Ascomycota; Sordariomycetes; Hypocreales.
UUAAGUUCAGCGGGUAUUCCUACCUGAUCCGAGGUCAACUCUUGAGAAGUUGGGCGUUUCACGGCGUGACCGUCUCCGCGCUCCGGUGCGAGGUUGUGCUGCUGCGCAGGGGAGGCUGCGGCGAGGUCGCCACUGCAUUUAGGGGGCGGCCGGGGCCGGUCCCCAACACCAAGCCGGGGGGCUUGAGGGUUGAAAUGACG